GGACAGAGUCUGGCCAAUGACAGAGGGUUAUUCUUCACAGAGACAUCAGCCCUGUCAGGGGAUCAGGUGGAGCAGCUGCUGCUGGGUGUAGCCCACAGGGUGUGCGAGUGUGUUGGAGCGCAGCAGGGGGCGCUGUCAGAGUGGAAGGAGACGCCUCAUGUGGAUUUGUGCCACAGAAACACAUUCAAUCCUUUUGCAUCCGGCUGCAAAGUGGGACCCUGACCUCUAACUCUGUUGGUUGUUGUACUGCUGGUCUCUGUUUUAAAGCUGCACCGGGUAACACAUGUGCACCUGGUGUACAUCACAACAUCUCAAAUAAAGAAUUGGAAAAAAACACUGAA
Notothenia coriiceps (black rockcod) is the source of this 341-nucleotide long non-coding RNA. RefSeq lists it as uncharacterized. The transcript has 2 exons. Lineage: Eukaryota; Metazoa; Chordata; Actinopteri; Perciformes; Nototheniidae. The record is from RefSeq and is a predicted model, not a curated record.